AGAUGUAAAUUAUACGGCUGGGUGGAAGUAGUGUUUGUCGAUUGAUGACCUGUCGGAAACUAGGGUUAGAAACCGCGUUUUUGUUUUCGGAGUUGACAUUUGCGGCGUCAUGUAUACUUCCAUUUUAGGAAAUUCCACGUCCUCAGCACUAUUUUCAUGUUUUGUACGUUCGAGGACAGAUUACUGGUAGCAAAACAAUUAAAACAAA
Molecule: long non-coding RNA, 208 nt
Filed under: Populus trichocarpa (black cottonwood)
Lineage: Eukaryota; Viridiplantae; Streptophyta; Magnoliopsida; Malpighiales; Salicaceae
Description: long non-coding RNA (PTRI_LNC001561)
Source: RNAcentral